UUGGGUGAUCCCUUGCUCUCACGUUCGAGUGUUUGCUCGUCGUUUAGGCCGGUGAGUUACAUUUUUGCUCAUUGCAGUCACCUCCGGGGUUCUUCGCACCUGGUACCAGGACCCUUGUGCCCCGGACUGCACUGCCCGCCCUAUGACCCAAAACUCAAAAUGAGCCUUGCGACGAGACACGGACAUCCCUCAUGCUGCGGUUGCCUCCGGUCCGUUCCCGUGUUGGGUUAG
This 231-nucleotide ribosomal RNA is filed under the name Triticum aestivum (bread wheat). Its description in RNAcentral is "partial small subunit ribosomal RNA". The record is from RNAcentral. Lineage: Eukaryota; Viridiplantae; Streptophyta; Magnoliopsida; Poales; Poaceae.